AGUGAACGCUGGCGGUAGGCCUAACACAUGCAAGUCGAACGACAGCACAGUAAGAGCUUGCUCUUACGGGUGGCGAGUGGCGGACGGGUGAGGAAUACAUCGGAAUCUACUUUUUCGUGGGGGAUGACGUAGGGAAACUUACGCUAAUACCGCAUACGACCUACGGGUGAAAGCAGGGGAUCUUCGGACCUUGCGCGAUUGAAUGAGCCGAUGUCGGAUUAGCUAGUUGGCGGGGUAAAGGCCCACCAAGGCGACGAUCCGUAGCUGGUCUGAGAGGAUGAUCAGCCACACUGGAACUGAGACACGGUCCAGACUCCUACGGGAGGCAGCAGUGGGGAAUAUUGGACAAUGGGCGCAAGCCUGAUCCAGCCAUACCGCGUGGGUGAAGAAGGCCUUCGGGUUGUAAAGCCCUUUUGUUGGGAAAGAAAAGCAGCAGGUUAAUACCCCGCUGUUCUGACGGUACCCAAAGAAUAAGCACCGGCUAACUUCGUG
This 492-nucleotide ribosomal RNA is filed under the name uncultured bacterium. RNAcentral's name for it is "partial 16S ribosomal RNA". It matches the Rfam family "Bacterial small subunit ribosomal RNA", at positions 29 to 507 of the family's 1533-position model. The record is from RNAcentral.